RNAcentral lists this non-coding RNA (135 nucleotides) under Streptococcus anginosus. RNAcentral describes it as "yjdF RNA". It matches the Rfam family "azaaromatic riboswitch aptamer (yjdF RNA)", at positions 5 to 92 of the family's 101-position model. The record is from RNAcentral. Lineage: Bacteria; Bacillati; Bacillota; Bacilli; Lactobacillales; Streptococcaceae.
GCAAAGAUAAAAACACAGUUUCGGUUGGUAGUCCGAACAUAUUCGUGACAGGCUAGAUUUGUUUUUCUAAUGACAAUUGAAGUAGGUCACGACUAUCAGUAACCCUCCUCCUUGGUUGUCCCUUCUUUGUAAUGU